CCGAUCACAGCGAGGAGGACGAGAGCCAGAACAACCACUGCAGCAAUGAUGGGGAUGGUCAUGUCAGUGGGCUUCUUUCCUCUGUUGGUCCUGAUCUUUGCCAGUUUG
Long non-coding RNA from Sander lucioperca (pikeperch), 108 nucleotides. RefSeq lists it as uncharacterized. The record is from RefSeq and is a predicted model, not a curated record. NCBI's taxonomy places the organism in Eukaryota, Metazoa, Chordata, Actinopteri, Perciformes, Percidae. The transcript has 3 exons.